This 459-nucleotide ribosomal RNA is filed under the name uncultured bacterium. RNAcentral describes it as "partial 16S ribosomal RNA". It matches the Rfam family "Bacterial small subunit ribosomal RNA", at positions 338 to 795 of the family's 1533-position model. The record is from RNAcentral.
CCUACGGGAGGCUGCAGUGAGGAAUAUUGGUCAAUGGUCGGGAGACUGAACCAGCCAAGCCGCGUGAGGGAGGAAGGUACAGAGUAUCGUAAACCUCUUUUGUCAGGGAACAAAGACUGGGACGCGUCCCCGGAUGAGUGUACCUGAAGAAAAAGCAUCGGCUAACUCCGUGCCAGCAGCCGCGGUAAUACGGAGGAUGAGAGCGUUAUCCGGCUUUAUUGGGUUUAAUGGGUGCGAAGGCGGUCUGUUAAGUCAGGGGUAAAAGCCCGGGGCCAAACCCCGGCCAGCCGUUGAAACUGGCAGUCUCGAGUUGGAGAGAAGUAUGCGGAAUGCGCGGUGUAGCGGUGAAAUGCAUAGAUAUCGCGCAGAACUCCGAUUGCGAAGGCAGCAUGCCGGCUCCACACUGACGCUGAGGCACGAAAGCGUGGGUAUCGAACAGGAUUAGAUACCCUAGUAGUC